UGGCAGUCGUAGUCCGUCUGUCCUUUCAGUUAGGACUACAAAAGUCAUGCAGGAGUCUGUGUGGGAGUAAAUGUGCUUCAUGAGGGAUGCUACGCCGAACAACGCCAACAAUUGCAUGUUUCGAAUGGGCUGCAGCUUUCCCUCCCCCUUGGUCUUUUUCUCCUUGUCCUUCGGCCGAUGAACCUGGCGAAGAUCUGACUUGCUGGAUCGCAUCCUGAGAGGCCUCUUGCUGUCCUGGGCUACACGAGUACACAGCUCCGGAUAAUCCAGGUAAACAGCACGCAGCAACCAGCGAAGGCCUCGUAGAGUCU
Thunnus maccoyii (southern bluefin tuna) is the source of this 311-nucleotide long non-coding RNA. RefSeq lists it as uncharacterized. NCBI's taxonomy places the organism in Eukaryota, Metazoa, Chordata, Actinopteri, Scombriformes, Scombridae. The transcript has 3 exons. The record is from RefSeq and is a predicted model, not a curated record.